This is a long non-coding RNA of Leopardus geoffroyi (Geoffroy's cat), 887 nucleotides long. RefSeq lists it as uncharacterized. Lineage: Eukaryota; Metazoa; Chordata; Mammalia; Carnivora; Felidae. The record is from RefSeq and is a predicted model, not a curated record. The transcript is spliced from 3 exons.
UAGAGACUUCAUACCAAGCCUUUGCUCCAUGAAGUGUGUACCCAGGAUUGAUUCGGAGCUUAUUCUACAGGAGAUAACCCCCGCUGGGGUGAUGAAUGUGUACGUUCAGACGAGGGAUCCAGAAGCGGAGGAGUGACGCUUUCCAGAAGGACGUGUCAGGGUUAAUUAUGAAGGAAGUAACUAAAGUACAGAAGACCAGCACUGCCUCCUAUUAUCGUGGCAUCCAACCAAUGGCAGAUCGGACGGCCACCCGCUUCAGUUGUACUAUUUCUCAAAGCUUCAACUCUCACCUCUGAAAGCAGCCUGCGUCCUCCAAGCUUGUCCUCCCCAGCCUGCACCUCUUCUCUGAGUCCAAUUCCAUUCAUUAAUUCCUUUAAAAUGGAUUUACUUAGCAUCUACUGGUGUGUGUUUGGUGCUGGAGAUACAGUAAGGCAUGAUCUCCUCCCUUCAGGAGCUCACAGACUGUGGGGGGGGGGGGGGGUGGAACAGUAACACCGGAGUUGGGGAAGGGACUUUCCACAGGAGACGACCUUCCUAUGGUCAUUUGCACCUGCCGAAGGCCCAACGUUUUGAAUAAAUAAUUAAUAAUUUUCUCUCCAAAACGUACGUUGCUUCCUAAUUUCCCCCAUCCUGCUGUAUAGCACUACUAUUCAGUUCCCCAGCGAUUUAAGUGUAAAACCUGGUGUUUCUGUUUUCUUCAACCCCCUGGAGCCAUUCGCCAUGGGGUCUUGUUGGCUCCCACCUCUCACUUGAGGUCCCCAGAGCCUUGGGGACAAUCAUGCCCAGAGACUUUGGCUGUUACCUCUUCACCAGAAUUCCCGGCACCUGGCAUUGUCAAAGUUAAACAAAAAACAAAACAAGCUCACUGGCUCCAGCCACCCACUCGU